UAGCUGUGUUGCCAGCAUGCACUUCGGGGUGAUGGGGACUCACAGGAGACCGCCGGGGUCAACUCGGAGGAAGUUGGGGACGACGUCAAGUCAUCAUGCCCCUUAUGUCGUGGGCUGCACACGUGCUACAAUGGCCGGUACAAAGAGCUGCGAAACCGUGAGGUGGAGCGAAUCUCAAAAAGCCGGUCUCAGUUCGGAUUGGGGUCUGCAACUCGACCCCAUGAAGUCGGAGUUGCUAGUAAUCGCAGAUCAGCAUUGCUGCGGUGAAUACGUUGCCCGGGCCUUGUACACACCGUCCGUCACGUCACGAAAGUCGGUAACACCCGAAGCCGGUGGCCACAACCCUUGUGGAGGGAGCCGUCGAAGGGGACGCGG
Molecule: ribosomal RNA, 375 nt
Filed under: Streptomyces clavuligerus
Lineage: Bacteria; Bacillati; Actinomycetota; Actinomycetes; Kitasatosporales; Streptomycetaceae
Description: bacterial SSU rRNA
Rfam family: Bacterial small subunit ribosomal RNA
Source: RNAcentral